RNAcentral lists this transfer RNA (77 nucleotides) under Olavius algarvensis Gamma 3 endosymbiont. It matches the Rfam family "tRNA". Rfam says of the family: Transfer RNA (tRNA) molecules are approximately 80 nucleotides in length. Lineage: Bacteria; Pseudomonadati; Pseudomonadota; Gammaproteobacteria. The record is from RNAcentral.
CGGAGUGUGGCGCAGCCUGGUAGCGCACCUAUCUCGGGGUCAGGGGGUCGCAGGUUCGAAUCCUGCCUCUCCGACCA